AUGGCGAUGCGGCCCAUGUCCGAGAUGUCGCCGCCGCCGGCGCCGUCUGACCAGAGAGACGCUGUCAUAGAGGAGCUCCGGAAGGGCUCUCAGCUUGCGGAGUUCCUCCGGCAGCAGGUGGAGCUCAUCCCGGAGGACAGCCGCCGUGACGCCGCGCUGGCCAACGUGAGCGACAUCACCACGGCCCUGGCGUCGUCACUCUCUGUGCUCCAGUCGGAGAGAGAGCAGUACUACUGCUCCUCCUCCUCCUCCGACGCCGGCCAUGCUUCCGGGGCCUCCGGUGGUGGCGGGGUGCGAAACGGCGUAGUCGCACGCACCAGGAACAGGAAGGCGAAGCAUCGGCGAGGCACCUAUGGCGAGGAGCUCCCAAUCAAGGAGAUACUAACCAAGGCACCAGAAAAUGAUCGAUUCCACUGGAGGAAAUAUGGGGAGAAGAAGAUCCUCCAUGCUGAUUUUCCAAGGUUAUACUACAGAUGCGGAUAUAGCGACGAGCACAAGUGCCCGGCGAAGAAGUACGUGCAGCAGCAAAACAGCAGCGACCCGCCCAUGUUCUUGGUCACCCUCAUCAACGACCACACAUGCGAUACUUUGUUCCCAGAUGAAGACCAAGACCAACCACCCAGCAGCUCAAGCAGCGCUAAUAACUCGCAGAUGCUCGACUUCUCCAAAGCGUCGCUCUCUUCGGCUGUUGGUGUCUCGAGAUUGAAGGAGGAGGAAGACGCGGACAUGUCCGUGACCGUGCCCAGCUACAACUACACGUAUGAUGAGCUGUCUUCUUCCUCGCUGCCGUUCCUGUCGCCCAAGCAGUGGGAGAUGGAAAUGGAGGUCAAGUCACUUUUUCGUCGUCACUCUGGGGAUGGUAACUAG
Molecule: ribosomal RNA, 867 nt
Filed under: Triticum aestivum (bread wheat)
Lineage: Eukaryota; Viridiplantae; Streptophyta; Magnoliopsida; Poales; Poaceae
Description: partial small subunit ribosomal RNA
Source: RNAcentral